GGCUUAACACAUGCGAGUCGAACGGUAACAGAAAAUAGCUUGCUAUUUUGCUGACGAGUGGCGGACGGGUGAGUAAUGCUUGGGAAUUUGCCGAAAGGUGGGGGACAACAGUUGGAAACGACUGCUAAUACCGCAUAAUGUCUACGGACCAAAGGUGGCCUCUAUUUAUAUGCUAUCGCUUUUCGAUGAGCCCAAGUGGGAUUAGCUAGUUGGUAAGGUAAUGGCUUACCAAGGCGACGAUCCCUAGCUGGUCUUAGAGGAUGACCAGCCACACUGGAACUGAGACACGGUCCAGACUCCUACGGGAGGCAGCAGUGGGGAAUAUUGCA
This 329-nucleotide ribosomal RNA is filed under the name uncultured Psychromonas sp. RNAcentral's name for it is "bacterial SSU rRNA". It matches the Rfam family "Bacterial small subunit ribosomal RNA", at positions 46 to 368 of the family's 1533-position model. Lineage: Bacteria; Pseudomonadati; Pseudomonadota; Gammaproteobacteria; Alteromonadales; Psychromonadaceae. The record is from RNAcentral.